GGGCAUAAUGGAUAACAACUGGAGACACCGGGUGGGUACUUGGAAGUAUUGGGAGGCACUGGUAAGAUAUUAGAAGUGUUUCCAGAACAUAGAUGAUGGAGGACCGAACUCAUCCGGGGAGAUGGCAUGGAGAACUUCAGGCUGGGGCUUCGCGCGUGGGAGAAAAUGCAGAUCUGCCAGGCAGAGCAAGUUUGCCGAGAUGGAAACUGAGGCUCAGAAAGGCCAAAUGACCCCCCACCACGUCUGUAUAGCUGGGACGGGGUGCUCCUGCACAGCCACCUUCCAGAGCCUUGCCUGGUGUGUGAGGA
Molecule: non-coding RNA, 308 nt
Organism: Manis javanica (Malayan pangolin)
Lineage: Eukaryota; Metazoa; Chordata; Mammalia; Pholidota; Manidae
Source: RefSeq, a predicted model, not a curated record